This 253-nucleotide ribosomal RNA is filed under the name uncultured bacterium. RNAcentral describes it as "partial 16S ribosomal RNA". It matches the Rfam family "Bacterial small subunit ribosomal RNA", at positions 524 to 776 of the family's 1533-position model. The record is from RNAcentral.
GACGGAGGAGGCAAGCGUUAUCCGGAGUUAUUGGGCGUAAAGCGUCCGCAGGUGGCGAUUCAAGUCUGCUGUCAAAGGUCGGGGCUUAACCCCGGGAAGGCAGUGGAAACUGAAUAGCUAGAGUGCGGUAGGGGCAGAGGGAAUUCCCGGUGUAGCGGUGAAAUGCGUAGAGAUCGGGAAGAACACCAGUGGCGAAAGCGCUCUGCUGGGCAUGCACUGACACUGAGGGGGGAAAGUUCGGGGGGCGCAAGGG